CUUUUAGCUUUGAAGGGUCCAUCUUUUUCCUUAUUUAAUUAUCUGGAAGGAGUGGUCACAGAAAUACUCUUCUGCUUACCUGAAGAUCUCUAAAUGAUAUCCAGCAGGAGGUGCUACAAUGAGAUAAAGGAAAUUUUUGAAUUUUGAGGGUCUUAAUACUUACUGCAGCUCUACUUAAGCUUCAGCUAAGCAACAGGAUUAACACCUUAAAGUUCCAGAAAGAUUUUGAGCAUACUAUACUGCUUUCUUAGUAUGAUCAAAUUAGGUAAGACAUAUGAAAGUUCUUUGUAAAUUUUAAGAAGCCAUGCA
Molecule: long non-coding RNA, 309 nt
Filed under: Ictidomys tridecemlineatus (thirteen-lined ground squirrel)
Lineage: Eukaryota; Metazoa; Chordata; Mammalia; Rodentia; Sciuridae
Description: lncRNA (ENSSTOG00000030992.1)
Source: RNAcentral